AUGGUGAUCGGUUUGCUAGGGAAAUGGCACGAGCCCGAGGACCCCAUGGGGCUCUCUAGCCACAAGCAUAUUUCAGACAUGGAUGGUGGCAUGGCGCUUGAAAAUCUAAUCAAAGUCAUUCAUCACAUUUUCUGCAGCUACUUCCACCAACAUUGCAUACAGAGCACUUGUGGCAUUGUCCCCUGCCCAACGCUCUCGCUGAUAGUUACACACAACCUACACGCAUAUAUGCACUGUGUGAGCCCUCACUUCUUUGUUCGUUCUACUAUAAAUCCAUGGUCUGCUGAACACAAACUUCGUCAUCUCAUCUGCAAGCAACAUCACAGUCUACAACACCCCUUCAGACUUUGA
Molecule: ribosomal RNA, 351 nt
Filed under: Triticum aestivum (bread wheat)
Lineage: Eukaryota; Viridiplantae; Streptophyta; Magnoliopsida; Poales; Poaceae
Description: partial small subunit ribosomal RNA
Source: RNAcentral